Molecule: transfer RNA, 74 nt
Filed under: Stegodyphus dumicola
Lineage: Eukaryota; Metazoa; Arthropoda; Arachnida; Araneae; Eresidae
Description: tRNA-Asn
Rfam family: tRNA
About the family: Transfer RNA (tRNA) molecules are approximately 80 nucleotides in length. Their secondary structure includes four short double-helical elements and three loops (D, anti-codon, and T loops). Further hydrogen bonds mediate the characteristic L-shaped molecular structure. tRNAs have two regions of fundamental functional importance: the anti-codon, which is responsible for specific mRNA codon recognition, and the 3' end, to which the tRNAs corresponding amino acid is attached (by aminoacyl-tRNA synthetases). tRNAs cope with the degeneracy of the genetic code in two manners: having more than one tRNA (with a specific anti-codon) for a particular amino acid; and 'wobble' base-pairing, i.e. permitting non-standard base-pairing at the 3rd anti-codon position.
Source: RNAcentral
GCCUUCGUGGUGUAGUGGUUCUGCACGCUGGGCUGUUAAUCCCGAGGUCCGUGGUUCGAUUCCCGGCGAAGGCG